GAACGCCACGGACUACCUGUGCAACAGGUUCGCCGACACCACGUCGGCGGUGGACUCCACGUACCUGCUCUUCUCGGCCUACCUCGUCUUCGCCAUGCAGCUCGGCUUCGCCAUGCUCUGCGCGGGCUCCGUCCGGGCCAAGAACACCAUGAACAUCAUGCUCACCAACGUGCUCGACGCCGCCGCCGGCGCGCUCUUCUACUACCUCUUCGGCUUCGCCUUCGCCUUCGGCACCCCGUCCAACGGGUUUAUCGGGAAGCACUUCUUCGGCCUCAAGGACAUGCCGCAGACCGGCUUCGACUACAGCUUCUUCCUCUUCCAGUGGGCCUUCGCCAUCGCCGCCGCCGGCAUCACCUCGGGCUCCAUCGCCGAGAGGACGCAGUUCGUCGCCUACCUCAUCUACUCGGCCUUCCUCACCGGGUUCGUCUACCCGGUCGUGUCCCACUGGAUCUGGUCCGUGGACGGCUGGGCCUCGGCGGCCCGCACGUCCGGCCCGCUGCUCUUCAAGUCCGGGGUGAUCGACUUCGCCGGCUCCGGCGUCGUGCACAUGGUGGGCGGCAUCGCCGGCUUCUGGGGCNAGAUGUCGGCGACGUGCGCGGCGGACCUGGGGCCGCUGCUGGGUGCGGCGGCGGCGAACGCCACGGACUACCUGUGCAACAGGUUCGCCGACACCACGUCGGCGGUGGACUCCACGUACCUGCUCUUCUCGGCCUACCUCGUCUUCGCCAUGCAGCUCGGCUUCGCCAUGCUCUGCGCGGGCUCCGUCCGGGCCAAGAACACCAUGAACAUCAUGCUCACCAACGUGCUCGACGCCGCCGCCGGCGCGCUCUUCUACUACCUCUUCGGCUUCGCCUUCGCCUUCGGCACCCCGUCCAACGGGUUUAUCGGGAAGCACUUCUUCGGCCUCAAGGACAUGCCGCAGACCGGCUUCGACUACAGCUUCUUCCUCUUCCAGUGGGCCUUCGCCAUCGCCGCCGCCGGCAUCAC
Molecule: long non-coding RNA, 987 nt
Filed under: Hordeum vulgare
Lineage: Eukaryota; Viridiplantae; Streptophyta; Magnoliopsida; Poales; Poaceae
Description: long non-coding RNA (HVUL_LNC005169)
Source: RNAcentral